UUAUACCCCCGCACAACAAAGUUGUAAGGGGGGUAUACUGGAAUCAGCUUGUCUGUCCGGCCAUCCGGCCGUCCGUCGGUUUUUUCUUGUCCGCCCAAUAACUUAAGAUAUCUUUGACCCUUAGUCUUCAUAUUUGGCAUGGAGGUUAGUCAUGAUUAGUAGAUGACCCCUAUUGAUUUUGAGGUCACCAGGUCAAAGGUCACAGGGACUUUGACUUCAAAAAGUUUGUCUGCCCAAUAACUUUAGAUUCCUUUGACCCACAGUCUUCAUAUUUGGCAUGGAUGUUGAUCAUGAUAAGUAGAUGACCCCUUGUGAUUUUGAGGUCACUGGAUCAAAGGUCAAGGUCAUAGGGACUUUGACUUCAAAAAGUUUGUCCACCCAUUUACUUAAGAUUCCUUUGACCCACAGUCUUCAUAUUUGGCAUGGAUGUUGAUCAUGACUAUAAGGUGACCCCUAUUGACUUUGAGGUCACUGGGUCAAAGGUCAAGGUCACAGGGACCUUGACAAAAAAAGCUUUUCUUCUCAAUUGCUAAAGAAUGUCCUGUCCGCAAUGUAUUGAUUUUGACAUUUUCACAUUUGAAGCUUGUAGAAUACAUAACUUAGCAAUGCACUGGCUUAGUAACCUCAGAUUUGGCAGGGAGGUUGUCCUUGAGCUCUAAAUGGCCACUGUUGAUUCUGACAAAGUGGUAUGCGGGGGUAUUCACGCCAAGAUAGUGGCAGUUCUAGUUUCUUUUUUAAA
Molecule: long non-coding RNA, 739 nt
Organism: Ruditapes philippinarum (Manila clam)
Lineage: Eukaryota; Metazoa; Mollusca; Bivalvia; Venerida; Veneridae
Exons: 2
Source: RefSeq, a predicted model, not a curated record